RNAcentral lists this ribosomal RNA (734 nucleotides) under Bacillus sp. enrichment culture clone AUBT-11. Its description in RNAcentral is "bacterial SSU rRNA". It matches the Rfam family "Bacterial small subunit ribosomal RNA", at positions 63 to 777 of the family's 1533-position model. The record is from RNAcentral. Lineage: Bacteria; Bacillati; Bacillota; Bacilli; Caryophanales; Bacillaceae.
CGAGCGAACGGAUUAAGAGCUUGCUCUUAUGAAGUUAGCGGCGGACGGGUGAGUAACACGUGGGUAACCUGCCCAUAAGACUGGGAUAACUCCGGGAAACCGGGGCUAAUACCGGAUAACAUUUUGAACCGCAUGGUUCGAAAUUGAAAGGCGGCUUCGGCUGUCACUUAUGGAUGGACCCGCGUCGCAUUAGCUAGUUGGUGAGGUAACGGCUCACCAAGGCAACGAUGCGUAGCCGACCUGAGAGGGUGAUCGGCCACACUGGGACUGAGACACGGCCCAGACUCCUACGGGAGGCAGCAGUAGGGAAUCUUCCGCAAUGGACGAAAGUCUGACGGAGCAACGCCGCGUGAGUGAUGAAGGCUUUCGGGUCGUAAAACUCUGUUGUUAGGGAAGAACAAGUGCUAGUUGAAUAAGCUGGCACCUUGACGGUACCUAACCAGAAAGCCACGGCUAACUACGUGCCAGCAGCCGCGGUAAUACGUAGGUGGCAAGCGUUAUCCGGAAUUAUUGGGCGUAAAGCGCGCGCAGGUGGUUUCUUAAGUCUGAUGUGAAAGCCCACGGCUCAACCGUGGAGGGUCAUUGGAAACUGGGAGACUUGAGUGCAGAAGAGGAAAGUGGAAUUCCAUGUGUAGCGGUGAAAUGCGUAGAGAUAUGGAGGAACACCAGUGGCGAAGGCGACUUUCUGGUCUGUAACUGACACUGAGGCGCGAAAGCGUGGGGAGCAAACAGGA